Punica granatum (pomegranate) is the source of this 1671-nucleotide non-coding RNA. NCBI's taxonomy places the organism in Eukaryota, Viridiplantae, Streptophyta, Magnoliopsida, Myrtales, Lythraceae. The record is from RefSeq and is a predicted model, not a curated record.
UAUAUGUGUAUACGAAAGUGUAUUUGCAUAAACAACCCGAAUAGGAGAGUCCGAUUCGCAUAGGUCCAUUAGUCUAAAAGUUAGGAGAAUUGCACCGGGGGUCUCCUUCAAGUUUGGCCGCUAGCAUUGUCGAUCCGGUGGUCUCCUUCGAGUUUGGCCGCUUGCGCCAUCGAUCUCGAGACCCAUCGACGCAAUCGGUGUGGAUACCGAUAGAGUAGUGAUACUUGGAGCUUUAAAUUGACGAACCAGAAUCAAUACAUCAUGAUACGUCGCAAUUAGCAAGAGCACACGAAGCAGGACCUGAAUCUACAAUGUUCUAUGCAAAAGAAUGGGGGAAAGGAUUCUGGUUCCGACAGGCUCCUUUGUGACCACUGUGGUCGCACGGGACAUUUGAAGAGUACUUGUUGGCUGCUGCACGUGAAUCCCUCGACUUUUUUUUUUUUGCUGAAAUGUAUCCCUCGACUUGGGAAUAGCAAGGAAAGUCUGGGCAGAACUCGAAGGGGCCAUCACAGCAGUGGAAGCAGAAGAAGUCUGCAGGAAGAUUCAUGGGUGAAGGACCAGCAAAACAACAAGGCCGACAGUCGGCACAAUAGGCCAAUGCAGCGUAGACAAGUCUAGCGAGCAACAGCACAACAGGAAGCCUAGCGAGUAGCAGCACAACCGGGCAGCUCUCUCGUCUGUCAGAGGUCCAAUUUCAACGCAUUUUGAGCAUGGUUAGGCCUGAUGAUGGUGAUGUUGAGCCACUCAAAGGCAACAUCUUUAUUUUGAUUAAUCGUGGAAAUGAUUAGAUAAUUGACAGAAGAGACACGAGACACAUGAUGACAUGAUGCUCGAGUAAUUUUGAGAAACCGUAGGUUGUUAGUGGAAAUUAUCCAGUGACUAUCCCGAAUGGAAACUCAAUUCAAGCAACGAGAAUCGGGAAAGUGAAGAUUGGGAGUCACUGAAUGUGUUGCUUGUGCCCAAUUUUAAUUGCAACUUGAUGUCGGUUGCACAGUUGUCCGUUGAUCUGGAUUACCAUGUGACCUUCCUUCAUAAUUUGUGCAUGAUACAGGACCGAACCUCGAGGAGGAUGCUUGAAGUGAGUGAGCUAGAAGGAGGCUCUAUUAUCUGAGACCUCACUACUCAGGUUAUCAAGUAGUGGAGAUUAAGCAUACGGACAUAUGGCACCAACGACUUGGCAUCCUUAAUGUCGCAUUUGAGUUUGAGGGUAUUAAUCACAUUCAAGUUUGAGAGAGAGAGAGAUUUUGUGGAAUUGCGGCAGAGCGGCGGCUGGGAGAGGAGAAACAGGCCCAUUUUUUACAUCAGUUCAAUCCCUAAUCCCUUAAAAAUUAUAUCAAUUUGUUUUUGGAGGUUUGUAACUGUAUCUUCGUCAUCUAUAGUAUCGUCGGUGGCGGAGAAAACUUACGGAACCAUAUAGGUACAUUUUACGUACGGUGGAACAUAAUAAUUCUACGGAAGAUCCCCCCAUCUAUUGUGAUGGGAGGAUCCUAUCUUGGAUGUCUUCAGCAGCCGGAUGAACCACAUGAUGGUGGUGCUCAUGUCAUGAAUGGAGCAGGAGGAGUAGCAGGGGGGUAGUCAGCGGCAGCGGAAUCCCACGGCUUGCGGCCCCAAUGACCACUGACUCCUCCAACGAACCCGAUGGAGCCUGUUGACCCGAAGACCCACCUCGCU